CCUACGGGUGGCAGCAGUGGGGAAUAUUGCACAAUGGGGGAAACCCUGAUGCAGCGACGCCGCGUGAGUGAAGAAGUAAUUCGUUACGUAAAGCUCUAUCAGCAGGGAAGAAAUACUGACCUUACGGUCAGCAGACGGUACCUGAGUAAUAAGCCCCGGCUAAAUACGUGCCAGCAGCCGCGGUAAUACGUAUGGGGCAAGCGUUAUCCGGAUUUACUGGGUGUAAAGGGAGCGUAGGCGGCAGGGCAAGCCUGAUGGGAAAGCCCGGGGCUCAACCCCGGGACUGCAUUGGGAACUGUCCCGCUCGAGUGCCGGAGGGGCAGGCGGAAUUCCUAGUGUAGCGGUGAAAUGCGUAGAUAUUAGGAGGAACACCAGUGGCGAAGGCGGCCUGCUGGACGGUGUACUGACGCUGAGGCUCGAAAGCGUGGGGAGCAAACAGGAUUAGAUACCCGAGUAGUC
This 459-nucleotide ribosomal RNA is filed under the name uncultured bacterium. RNAcentral describes it as "partial 16S ribosomal RNA". It matches the Rfam family "Bacterial small subunit ribosomal RNA", at positions 338 to 795 of the family's 1533-position model. The record is from RNAcentral.